AACGAACGCUGGCGGCAUGCCUAACACAUGCAAGUCGAACGAGAUCCUUCGGGGUCUAGUGGCGCACGGGUGCGUAACGCGUGGGAAUCUGCCCUUAGUUUCGGAAUAACAGUUAGAAAUGACUGCUAAUACCGGAUGAUGACGUUAAGUCCAAAGAUUUAUCGCCUGAGGAUGAGCCCGCGUAGGAUUAGCUAGCUGGUGUGGUAAAGGCGCACCAAGGCGACGAUCCUUGGCUGGUCUGAGAGGAUGAUCAGCCACACUGGGACUGAGACACAGCCCAGAAUCACACGGGAGGCAGCAGUGGAGAAUAUUAGACAAUGAGCGCAAGCCUGACACAGCAAUGCCGCGUGAGUGAUGAAGAGCUUAGAGUUGUAAAGCUCUAUUACCCGGGAUGAUAAUGACAGUACCGGGAGAAUCAGCUCCGGCUAACUCCGUG
This 436-nucleotide ribosomal RNA is filed under the name uncultured bacterium. Its description in RNAcentral is "partial 16S ribosomal RNA". It matches the Rfam family "Bacterial small subunit ribosomal RNA", at positions 29 to 507 of the family's 1533-position model. The record is from RNAcentral.